This is a long non-coding RNA of Capsicum annuum, 1172 nucleotides long. RefSeq lists it as uncharacterized. The transcript has 2 exons. Lineage: Eukaryota; Viridiplantae; Streptophyta; Magnoliopsida; Solanales; Solanaceae. The record is from RefSeq and is a predicted model, not a curated record.
CUUCACACCUUGCCACUGCAGGUAUAAUAUCGGGCUACGAGAUCGAUGUAGUCAAGUGGAUAGCCCGAGAGAUUAUGGAUAGGGCAACUAGCACAGACACUGUGUUGACCUUCCCUUGCAUGGUGACUUAGAUUUGUUUGGAGGUGGGAGUGCCAGAGCUCCCAGAUAUUAAUCGAUUCUUAAGGCCGAGGACCACGAUAGAUUUGGGGUUAAUCAGAGAUGUAACUAAUCCUAUCUCAAAGAUGGCAAAGUUGGGCACGUCCAUAAUUAGUGAUGCAUAUGAGGCUGGAGAAGAUGACAGUACGAGGUUUACUGAUAUAGGUGAUAUCCCUAUUAAGACUGUCCAGUCCAUGUCCCAGGCCUCUGAUGCAGCGGUAACCUCUCGUACUCCCACUCCACCACUUACUAUGGAACCACGACCAUCCUCAUCCAAGUUGGUUCCAGCCGACUAUGUAUUAGUGUCGCAAUAAUUUCUUUUCAAAGUUAUAAAGAGGUUGAGUACGGUGGAAAUAAAGGUGCGAUUGAUGAAGAAAGGAGUGAAAUCAUGGGUUUAGAAGAGGCUUAAUGAAGAUAUGAGGACAAUGUAGGCAAGGUUUGAUGUGUUUGAGUGGAGGAUUAACCGUCAGCUUGAAGGUAUCCAGUCCCCAAACAUAGCAGGUGUACAGGCUGAUUUAGCCAAUCUGUGAAAAUUAGUAGAAGAGUUACAUGAUAGGACAAUCCUAUCAGUGCCUAUUAUUGAGGAGACCACAGAGAGGAUGUGGUCAAAAAUACUUUAUCUAUUGGUGAUGCAACUCCUGCAGCUGGCGAAAAGGUGAAAAAAGCAAAAAAAAAAAAAAAAGAGAUUUGAAGAAGAAAAUAUUUAGAUUGCAACAAGAGAGAGUCAUAAGAGUGAGAGAAACCACAAGAAGAGGGUCCAAGAGAUAGCGGCCGGGGCUGGUAGUUCGACACUCGCUGAUGCUGCUGGGAUGAGCAGUAGUACAGUCCAGCCGCCUGAGCCAUCUUUGAGUGCACUGACCACCACUGGUUCCACUAUUGCUGAGAGUGUCCUGACAACUGUUGGGACCACUGAUGUUCAGGAUGGGACCCGGUAUGAGGUCCUACAUGCUGAUCAGGAUUAAUAUGGCGACCAGAGUGCUCAGGGAAACUAGGUCGGAAGUAGUUUUGAACUAAAA